UACCUGCAGCUCAAGUGGUGGCCGCUAUUAUUGGGUCUAAAACGUCCGUAGCCGGUUUGGUAAAUGCCUGGGUAAAUCGUGUAGCUUAACUAUACGAAUUCCGGGUAGACUGCCAAACUUGAGACCGGGAGAGGCUAGAGGUACUCCUGGGGUAGAGGUGAAAUUCUGUAAUCCUAGGGGGACCACCAGUGGCGAAGGCGUCUAGCUAGAACGGGUUUGACGGUGAGGAACGAAGCCCUGGGGCGCAAACCGGAUUAGAUACCCGGGUAGUCCAGGGUGUAAACGCUGCUUGCUUGAUGUUAGUUGGGCUCCGAGCCCAAUUAGUGUCGGAGAGAAGUUGUUAAGCAAGCUGCCUGGGAAGUACGAUCGCAAGAUUGAAACUUAAAGGAAUUGGCGGGGGAGCACAGCAACGGGUGGAGCGUGCGGUUU
This 429-nucleotide ribosomal RNA is filed under the name uncultured archaeon. Its description in RNAcentral is "bacterial SSU rRNA". It matches the Rfam family "Archaeal small subunit ribosomal RNA", at positions 474 to 903 of the family's 1478-position model. The record is from RNAcentral.